This 487-nucleotide ribosomal RNA is filed under the name uncultured bacterium. Its description in RNAcentral is "bacterial SSU rRNA". It matches the Rfam family "Bacterial small subunit ribosomal RNA", at positions 338 to 811 of the family's 1533-position model. The record is from RNAcentral.
CCUACGGGAGGCAGCAGUGGGGAAUUUUGGACAAUGGGCGCAAGCCUGAUCCAGCCAUGCCGCGUGUGGGAAGAAGGCCUUCGGGUUGUAAACCACUUUUGUCAGGGAAGAAACGGCUCUUACUAAUAUUAGGAGCUAAUGACGGUACCUGAAGAAUAAGCACCGGCUAACUACGUGCCAGCAGCCGCGGUAAUACGUAGGGUGCAAGCGUUAAUCGGAAUUACUGGGCGUAAAGCGUGCGCAGGCGGCUUUGCAAGACAGAUGUGAAAUCCCCGGGCUCAACCUGGGAACUGCAUUUGUGACUGCAUGGCUAGAGUACGGUAGAGGGGGAUGGAAUUCCGCGUGUAGCAGUGAAAUGCGUAGAUAUGCGGAGGAACACCGAUGGCGAAGGCAAUCCCCUGGACCUGUACUGACGCUCAUGCACGAACGACGUGGGAGGACGAACAGAGUAGUAUACCUACGUAGUACGACCGACCCGUAACCGAAC